Molecule: unclassified non-coding RNA, 254 nt
Filed under: uncultured fungus
Lineage: Eukaryota; Fungi
Description: partial contains 5.8S ribosomal RNA, internal transcribed spacer 2, and large subunit ribosomal RNA
Source: RNAcentral
AACGCACAUUGCGCCCAUUAGUAUUCUAGUGGGCAUGCCUGUUCGAGCGUCAUUACAACCCUCAAGCGCCCUGGUGCUUGGUGUUGGGGCUUCUGCUUGUGGCAGGCCCUGAAAGAUAGUGGCGAGCUCGCCGUGACCCUGAGCGUAGUAGUUUACACCUCGCUUCUGUGGCUCGCGGCGGGUUCUCGGCCGUGAAAACCCCCAAUUUUUACAAGGUUGACCUCGGAUCAGGUAGGAAUACCCGCUGAACUUAA